CAGCCGCCGCGGUAAUACCGGCGGCCCGAGUGGUGGUCGCUAUUAUUGGGCCUAAAGCGUCCGUAGCCGGGCCCGUAAGUCCCUGGCGAAAUCCCACGGCUCAACCGUGGGGCUUGCUGGGGAUACUGCGGGCCUUGGGACCGGGAGAGGCCGGGGGUACCCCUGGGGUAGGGGUGAAAUCCUAUAAUCCCAGGGGGACCGCCAGUGGCGAAGGCGCCCGGCUGGAACGGGUCCGACGGUGAGGGACGAAGGCCAGGGGAGCAAACCGGAUUAGAUACCCGGGUAGUCCUGGCUGUAAAGGAUGCGGGCUAGGUGUCGGGCGAGCUUCGAGCUCGCCCGGUGCCGAAGGGAAGCCGUUAAGCCCGCCGCCUGGGGAGUACGGCCGCAAGGCUGAAACUUAAAGGAAUUGGCGGG
RNAcentral lists this ribosomal RNA (414 nucleotides) under uncultured microorganism. RNAcentral's name for it is "bacterial SSU rRNA". It matches the Rfam family "Archaeal small subunit ribosomal RNA", at positions 459 to 872 of the family's 1478-position model. The record is from RNAcentral.